UUUCCUUGAGGCCUGAAGUCUGGCCACUUGCUGGUGUCCCACCCUCAUGCUUGGUAUCAGUUAGAGCAGCCACUGCCCUGGCUUGGAGGGACCCUGCACAAGGGACCAGGGGCCUUUCUGAGCCAUGGCCUCCCAGGCAUGUGGGUACCAGGCCCCAGGAGAGGUGCUGAAGAUACAUCAGUGAACAUAAGACUCAAAACUCCCUGCCUUCGAAGAGUUCCCAUUCCAGGGAUGGGAAGACAGACAGCACAUAAAAUCAGUGGGGCCCAUGCUGGAUGGAGUCUCGCCCCUGCAAAACCCCAGAGGGUGAGCAGCUUCUCCUCCACGGAGCUGGUCCUCAUCACCUGCCCCGGGCCCCUAAGGAAAUGAACAGCAUGCAGAACGCCUUGUUCAUGCAUCAGUGCUUCAAACUCAAAAGAAAAAAAAAAAAAA
Molossus molossus (Pallas's mastiff bat) is the source of this 432-nucleotide long non-coding RNA. RefSeq lists it as uncharacterized. The transcript is spliced from 3 exons. NCBI's taxonomy places the organism in Eukaryota, Metazoa, Chordata, Mammalia, Chiroptera, Molossidae. The record is from RefSeq and is a predicted model, not a curated record.